AGCCCUAAGUGGGUGGUAAACUCCAUCUAAGGCUAAAUAUGACCACGAGACCGAUAGCGAACAAGUACCGUGAGGGAAAGUUGAAAAGCACUUUGAAGAGAGAGUUCAAGAGUACGUGAAACCGUUUAGGGGUAAACCUGAGAAACCCGAAAGGUCGAAGGAAGAAAUUCAUUCGCGUUUCGUUGCAGGCGUCGAGCGGGAUCGUGUGACGGGUAACGUUCGCGUUACUCGCGCCUCCCGUUCUUCGAACCGGCGACGAACGCGUGCACUUUUCUUCUGGUAGGACGUCGCGAUCCGUUGGGUGUCGGUCUACGGCUCGCGGUGGAGCCCGUUCGUCGUAUUUAUCGUACGUACGGACGGACCCGCGUGUCCCGGCUGCCUCGCCCGACGGUAUACGAAAGGUUUAAGGCCGCUCUCGGAGCGUCCGGCUCGCGGCAAGCGCGCCAGAUGCGUCGGCGAUCGGACCUAGUGCCGAUUCUGACCUCUGGUGACUGUUGGCCGCGAAGAUCUCGGACAGACCUUAAGACCGAUCUGCGACGCUAUAGCUUUGGGUACUUUCAG
RNAcentral lists this ribosomal RNA (561 nucleotides) under Xanthochelus omogeron. Its description in RNAcentral is "partial 28S ribosomal RNA". It matches the Rfam family "Eukaryotic large subunit ribosomal RNA", at positions 284 to 645 of the family's 3401-position model. Lineage: Eukaryota; Metazoa; Arthropoda; Insecta; Coleoptera; Curculionidae. The record is from RNAcentral.